RNAcentral lists this ribosomal RNA (346 nucleotides) under uncultured bacterium. Its description in RNAcentral is "bacterial SSU rRNA". It matches the Rfam family "Bacterial small subunit ribosomal RNA", at positions 1 to 334 of the family's 1533-position model. The record is from RNAcentral.
CUAGCGACUUCAGAGUUUGAUCCGGCUCAGGACGAACGCUGGCGGCGUGCCUAAUACAUGCAAGUAGAACGCUGAGGUUUGGUGUUUACACUAGACUGAUGAGUUGCGAACGGGUGAGUAACGCGUAGGUAACCUGCCUCAUAGCGGGGGAUAACUAUUGGAAACGAUAGCUAAUACCGCAUAAGAGUAAUUAACACAUGUUAGUUAUUUAAAAGGAGCAAUUGCUUCACUGUGAGAUGGACCUGCGUUGUAUUAGCUAGUUGGUGAGGUAAAGGCUCACCAAGGCGACGAUACAUAGCCGACCUGAGAGGGUGAUCGGCCACACUGGGACUGAGACACGGCCCAG